GACGAACGCUGGCGGCGUGCCUAAUACAUGCAAGUAGAACGCUGAAGGAGGAGCUUGCUCUUCUGGAUGAGUUGCGAACGGGUGAGUAACGCGUAGGUAACCUGCCUGGUAGCGGGGGAUAACUAUUGGAAACGAUAGCUAAUACCGCAUAAUAGCAGUUGUUGCAUGACAGCUGUUUGAAAGGUGCAAUUGCACCACUACCAGAUGGACCUGCGUUGUAUUAGCUAGUUGGUGGGGUAACGGCCCACCAAGGCGACGAUACAUAGCCGACCUGAGAGGGUGAUCGGCCACACUGGGACUGAGACACGGCCCAGACUCCUACGGGAGGCAGCAGUAGGGAAUCUUCGGCAAUGGACGGAAGUCUGACCGAGCAACGCCGCGUGAGUGAAGAAGGUUUUCGGAUCGUAAAGCUCUGUUGUAAGAGAAGAACGAGUGUGAGAGUGGAAAGUUCACACUGUGACG
This 462-nucleotide ribosomal RNA is filed under the name Streptococcus mitis. RNAcentral describes it as "bacterial SSU rRNA". It matches the Rfam family "Bacterial small subunit ribosomal RNA", at positions 28 to 474 of the family's 1533-position model. Lineage: Bacteria; Bacillati; Bacillota; Bacilli; Lactobacillales; Streptococcaceae. The record is from RNAcentral.